Molecule: ribosomal RNA, 119 nt
Filed under: Medicago truncatula (barrel medic)
Lineage: Eukaryota; Viridiplantae; Streptophyta; Magnoliopsida; Fabales; Fabaceae
Source: RNAcentral
AGGUGCGAUAAUAUCAGCGUUAAUGUACUGAAUUCCAUUAAAACUUCACGGUUAAGUGUAUUUGAGCGUGAGUAGUACUAGAAUGCGUGACCUCCUAAAAAGUCCUUGUGUUGCACAUC